This is a long non-coding RNA of Sus scrofa (pig), 2753 nucleotides long. RefSeq lists it as uncharacterized. The record is from RefSeq and is a predicted model, not a curated record. Lineage: Eukaryota; Metazoa; Chordata; Mammalia; Artiodactyla; Suidae.
CCAUGGCACAUGGAGUUCCCGGACAAGGGAUAAGAUCCGAGCCGCAGGUGCAGCUGUGGCAACGUCUAGUCCUUUCACCCACUGUGCCAGCUGGGGAUGGAACCUGCGUCCUGCUGCUGCGGAGAGGCUGCUGGUCCCCUUGCUCCACCGCGGGAACGCCGUGUGGCGUCCUGUUUUCAAAAGCCAUCUAUGCUGCAUCACUCCUCCUUUCCUCUCCGUGGUGAUGAGCAUUCGAUGGUGUGGCUGUGCCACGUCGUGUUCAUCCGUGUACCUCUCCAUGUGCAUUGGGGUCGUUCCCACCUUCAGGCUCUUGUGAUCUGCACAGCUCUGUACAUACGUAUACAAAUAGCUGUUUGAAUCCCUGCUUUCAAAUCCUUGCCGGAUCGCAUGGACACUCUGUCCGACUUGAAGAACUGCCCAACUGUGUCCCACAGCGGCUGCCCCAGUUUACAUCCCCACCAGCAGCAUGGGUUCCAGUUUCUCCAUUUCCACGCCGGCACUUACUUUCCGUAUUUUGUUUUGUUUUGUUUUUUGCUUCUUAGGGCUUCACUCGCUGCAUACGGAGGGUCCCAGGCUGGGGGUUUGAAUCGGAGCUGCAGCUGCCAGCCUACACCACAACCACAACAACGCCAGAUCCAAGCCGUGUCUGCAACCUACACCACAGCUCAGGGUAACACCAGAUCUUCAACGCACUGAGUGAGGCCAGGGAUCGAAGCUGCGUCCUCGUGGAUGCUACUCAGAUUCGCUGACUGCUGAGCCACGACGGGAGCUCCUCCGUGUUUUAAUUAGAGCAUCCCAGCAUCGUGGUAUUUCCUCGUGGGUCUCGUUUACAUUUCCCUGAGGACUAAUGAUAUUGAAUAUCUUCUCUGUUCACUGGCCAUUCGUAAAGCUUCUUUGGAGAAACAUCAACACAGGCUUGAGGACUCCACUGCCCAUGACUCCUUACGGGGGCAGGGGUCGUUCAGAUCUCAAUCCCACCACGACUACUGUGUCUUGCGAAAGCCUCCCUGCAGAGCCCCACCACAGACGCUGGCGCUGGAGCUUCCCGGGAAUCUGUUGCAACACAGCCUCGCCCACGCAUGUGCCACCGCUCCACCCGGGCCAGUGGCAGACAUCACCAAUCAACUGCGGCACUGGAAAGCCCGGAGAUUUAUUCCCUGGGCCCCCAGCGACGGGGCAACUGGAUCGGGUCUCAGCCCCGGAAGAGCUCACUCAGGAGAAGAGAAAGAGGAGUGAGUGGCGCUAGGUUUUCAGGUGCUGAGGCAGGUGUCCUCGCCGGGGACAAGCCCCUUCCGCAGACGAGGGUGAGGAAAGUGUGCUAAAGGUGACGAUGACAAAUACGCUAACGGUGAACUCUACACUUGAAACGAGUGAAUCGGAUGGUGUGUGAACUAUAGCGCAGCGAGGCUGUCACCAAAAAAGCAAAGCUAAGCCAUCGAGCGUGACUUAGCGACUUUCUCUGGGCCCCUGUGAUCCUGUUACAUCCAUUGACUGAAAAAAAAAAAAAAAUAGCACAUCGUAAAAGUUGAGAAUUGGGUUUUGUUUGGCAGAAUUACUGAGGUCGUAAGCCUGGAAGACAGCCUCUCAGAGAGCCCUGAGGGAAUGCUCCGAAGAGGCAAGGGAGAAGCCAGGCUAUAUAGGCGUUUCUGCGACAAAAACAAGAGCGUCUAAACAUCAAAAGAUGACGGUUAUUUAGACACCGUGGGGGGAGGGAGAGACGAAUGAAGAGUUCAGGAAUAACACACACUACCGAAGACAAUAAUUAACCUACUGUUGAUUCCACUCAAUGGUUUGUAAUGACCUACAUGGGAAAAAGGAUGGGUAUAUGUGUAACUGAUUGACUCCGCUGUACCCAUGAAACUCACGCAACGCUGUCUAUCAACUACACUCUAACAGAAUUAAAUAAAUACAUAAACACACACAUGAUAAAACAUGACUUAUUUAAAGAAAGCCAGACAUCUCACAUGAGUGAUUUAUUGUUUUUCUGUGCUUGAGAAGGUGCAGGCUUCUGGGCUCAUCAGAAUCUUUCCUCUGAUGUGCACCUGAGUUAUCCAGGGCCCGUCUCCCCCUUUCUCCAUCCUGAAUGCCCUCAGGUGCAUAGUUGGGGUGGCUACGGGGGUGGAAGGCUUGAUGGCUGGGAGGUUUUGUCCACACUUCCCUAAACCCAGAUUCAACCCCCCCCCCACGCUCCUGGGGCUAAUCUCCCACGUGGUGUCUGCCUACUCCUGCUUCCGGAGUGAGCUGGCGCCCUGGACUUUGAGCCUGGACUUUCGCUAAGGCUCCGCUGGGCUCUGGCUCCUGUCUCAGCUGAAUCCAUCUGCACGGGGAGCCCGCUGGCUGCUGAGAGAAAGAGUGGAAGAUCAGCUCGUUCCAGGAGUUUCGCUGGAACUCCCUUUCCUCCCGCAGCGUCGCCAUCCUCCUUACAGGUCCAGAUGCCACGGUUAAUCUCGGCUCCUAAAACCACAGCCGCUUCCCGUGAGAAGUCCUGAGGAUGAGAGGCAAGAAUUGGACAUUUCCCUGCCCCUGGACUGUCUGCCCAAGUCCCUUGUCACGUUCACCCUGAGCGGCAGCCUGGCAAGCAAGAGACCCCAGGUGGGGACAGCUGCCUCUCUGCCCAGCCACGUAAACAAAGCCCCAGGGCCCUGAGACAUUAGGGCAUCUGAGAGAGGGCUGAAAGGCUCCUUGCUUAUCUUUGUGUUUGGUGGUUUGAGGAUUUUUUGGUGGUUUCCAGAAUAAAAACAGGUCUUCCUGUC